UUCGACCUGAGCUCAGGCAAGGCUACCCGCUGAACUUAAGCAUAUCAAUAAGCGGAGGAAAAGAAACUAACC
Molecule: ribosomal RNA, 72 nt
Filed under: Tetradesmus obliquus
Lineage: Eukaryota; Viridiplantae; Chlorophyta; Chlorophyceae; Sphaeropleales; Scenedesmaceae
Description: partial 28S ribosomal RNA
Rfam family: Eukaryotic large subunit ribosomal RNA
Source: RNAcentral